This 22-nucleotide microRNA is filed under the name Macaca mulatta (Rhesus monkey). RNAcentral describes it as "Mml-Novel-6_5p* (star (passenger))". The record is from RNAcentral. Lineage: Eukaryota; Metazoa; Chordata; Mammalia; Primates; Cercopithecidae.
AUCCUCUCUAACUUAUCCUUCA